This 253-nucleotide ribosomal RNA is filed under the name uncultured bacterium. RNAcentral describes it as "partial 16S ribosomal RNA". It matches the Rfam family "Bacterial small subunit ribosomal RNA", at positions 524 to 776 of the family's 1533-position model. The record is from RNAcentral.
UACGUAGGGUGCAAGCGUUGUUCGGAAUUAUUGGGCGUAAAGCGCGUGUAGGUGGUUGUUUAAGUCAGAUGUGAAAUCCCUGGGCUCAACCGAGGAAGUGCAUUUGAAACUAGAUAGCUAGAGGACAGCAGAGGAAGGUGGAAUUCCUAGUGUAGAGGUGAAAUUCGUAGAUAUUAGGAGGAAUACCUGUGGCGAAGGCGGCCUUCUGGACUGUUCCUGACACUGAGACGCGAAAGCGUGGGGAGCAAACAGG